ACAGUGGACGCGAGCAUCUGUGGCCAAGUUUUUAAGGGCGCACGGUGGAUGCCUUGGCACCAGGAACCGAUGAAGGACGUGGGAGGCCACGAUAGUCCCCGGGGAGUCGUCAACCAGGCUUUGAUCCGGGGGUUUCCGAAUGGGGAAACCCGGCAGUCGUCAUGGGCUGUCACCCGCUGCUGAACACAUAGGCAGUGUGGAGGGAACGAGGGGAAGUGAAACAUCUCAGUACCCUCAGGAAGAGAAAACAACCGUGAUUCCGGGAGUAGUGGCGAGCGAAACCGGAUGAGGCCAAACCGUAUACGUGUGAGACCCGGCAGGGGUUGCGUGUGCGGGGUUGUGGGAUCUCUCUUCCACGGUCUGCCGGCCGUGGGACGAGUCAGAAACCGUUGAUGUAGGCGAAGGACAUGCGAAAGGUCCGGCGUAGAGGGUAAGACCCCCGUAGUCGAAACGUCAGCGGCUCGUUUGAGAGACACCCAAGUAGCACGGGGCCCGAGAAAUCCCGUGUGAAUCUGGCGGGACCACCCGCUAAGCCUAAAUAUUCCCUGGUGACCGAUAGCGGAUAGUACCGUGAGGGAAUGGUGAAAAGUACCGCGGGAGCGGAGUGAAAUAGUACCUGAAACCGUGUGCCUACAAGCCGUGGGAGCGUCGGAUAUGUGCUUGCACAUAUCUCGUGACUGCGUGCCUUUUGAAGAAUGAGCCUGCGAGUUUGCGGUGUGUUGCGAGGUUAACCCGGGUGGGGUAGCCGUAGCGAAAGCGAGUCCGAACAGGGCGGUUUUAGUAGCACGCUCAAGACCCGAAGCGGAGUGAUCUAGCCAUGGGCAGGUUGAAGCGGAGGUAAGACUUCGUGGAGGACCGAACCCACCAGGGUUGAAAACCUGGGGGAUGACCUGUGGUUAGGGGUGAAAGGCCAAUCAAACUCCGUGAUAGCUGGUUCUCCCCGAAAUGCAUUUAGGUGCAGCGUCGUGUGUUUCUUGCCGGAGGUAGAGCACUGGAUAGGCGAUGGGCCCUACCGGGUUACUGACCUUAGCCAAACUCCGAAUGCCGGUAAGUGAGAGCGCGGCAGUGAGACUGUGGGGGAUAAGCUCCAUGGUCGAGAGGGAAACAGCCCAGAGCAUCGACUAAGGCCCCUAAGCGUACGCUAAGUGGGAAAGGAUGUGGAGUCGCAGAGACAACCAGGAGGUUGGCUUAGAAGCAGCCACCCUUGAAAGAGUGCGUAAUAGCUCACUGGUCUAGUGAUUCCGCGCCGACAAUGUAGCGGGGCUCAAGCGUACCGCCGAAGUCGUGUCAUUGCAGUAAUACGCCCAACGGCGGCUGUGAUGGGUAGGGGAGCGUCGUGUGCCGGGUGAAGCUGCGCCGGAAGGCAGUGGUGGACGGUUCACGAGUGAGAAUGCAGGCAUGAGUAGCGAUUCACACGUGAGAAACGUGUGCGCCGAUUGACUAAGGGUUCCUGGGUCAAGCUGAUCUGCCCAGGGUAAGUCGGGACCUAAGGCGAGGCCGACAGGCGUAGUCGAUGGAUAACCGGUUGAUAUUCCGGUACCCGCUGUGAAGCGUCAAACAUCGAACCCGUUAAUGCUAAGGCCGUGAAGCCGUUCCGGACCCUUCGGGGAAAGGAAAGUGGUGGAGCCGCUGACCCAAGGUGGUAGUAGGUGAGUGAUGGGGUGACGCAGGAAGGUAGUCCAGCCCGGGCGGUGGUUGUCCCGGGGUAAGGGUGUAGCCCGAGUGGUAGGCAAAUCCGCCACUCAUUGAGGGUGAGACCUGAUGCCGAGCCGAUUGUGGUGAAGUGGAUGAUCCUAUGCUGUCGAGAAAAGCCUCUAGCGAGUUUCAUGGCGGCCCGUACCCUAAACCGACUCAGGUGGUCAGGUAGAGAAUACCGAGGCGUUCGGGUGAACUAUGGUUAAGGAACUCGGCAAAAUGCCCCCGUAACUUCGGGAGAAGGGGGGCCAUCACUGGUGAGAGCACUUGCUGCUCGAGCUGGGGGUGGCCGCAGAGACCAGCGAGAAGCGACUGUUUACUAAAAACACAGGUCCGUGCGAAGCCGUAAGGCGAUGUAUACGGACUGACGCCUGCCCGGUGCUGGAACGUUAAGGGGACCGGUUAGUCAGGAUUCGUCUUGGCGAAGCUGAGAACUUAAGCGCCAGUAAACGGCGGUGGUAACUAUAACCAUCCUAAGGUAGCGAAAUUCCUUGUCGGGUAAGUUCCGACCUGCACGAAUGGCGUAACGACUUCUCGACUGUCUCAACCAUAGGCCCGGUGAAAUUGCACUACGAGUAAAGAUGCUCGUUUCGCGCAGCAGGACGGAAAGACCCCGGGACCUUUACUACAGUUUGAUAUUGGUGUUCGGUUCGGCUUGUGUAGGAUAGGUGGGAGACUGUGAAGCUUGGACGCCAGUUCAGGUGGAGUCGUCGUUGAAAUACCACUCUGGUCGUGCUGGAUGUCUAACCUGGGUCCGUGAUCCGGAUCAGGGACAGUGUCUGAUGGGUAGUUUAACUGGGGCGGUUGCCUCCUAAAGGGUAACGGAGGCGCCCAAAGGUUCCCUCAGCCUGGUUGGCAAUCAGGUGUUGAGUGUAAGUGCACAAGGGAGCUUGACUGUGAGACCGACGGGUCGAGCAGGGACGAAAGUCGGGACUAGUGAUCCGGCGGUGGCUUGUGGAAGCGCCGUCGCUCAACGGAUAAAAGGUACCCCGGGGAUAACAGGCUGAUCUUCCCAAGAGUCCAUAUCGACGGGAUGGUUUGGCACCUCGAUGUCGGCUCGUCGCAUCCUGGGGCUGGAGUCGGUCCCAAGGGUUGGGCUGUUCGCCCAUUAAAGCGGUACGCGAGCUGGGUUUAGAACGUCGUGAGACAGUUCGGUCCCUAUCCGCUGUGCGCGUAGGAGUCUUGAGAAGGGCUGUCCCUAGUACGAGAGGACCGGGACGGACGAACCUCUGGUGUGCCAGUUGUUCUGCCAAGGGCAUGGCUGGUUGGCUACGUUCGGGAGGGAUAACCGCUGAAAGCAUCUAAGCGGGAAGCCUGCUUCGAGAUGAGGACUCCCACCCACUUGAUGGGGUAAGGCUCCCAGUAGACGACUGGGUUGAUAGGCCGGAUCUGGAAGCACGGUAACGUGUGGAGGUGACCGGUACUAAUAGGCCGAGGGCUUGUCCUCAGUUG
RNAcentral lists this ribosomal RNA (3147 nucleotides) under Streptomyces antibioticus. RNAcentral describes it as "23S ribosomal RNA". It matches the Rfam family "Bacterial large subunit ribosomal RNA". The record is from RNAcentral. Lineage: Bacteria; Bacillati; Actinomycetota; Actinomycetes; Kitasatosporales; Streptomycetaceae.